AAAAUAUUUCAGGGCGAGGUGCAAUUCCUCACCGGCAGUAAAGUCUGCGAACCGCCAAGGCGGCCGAAACGGUGCAAUUCCGUUACCGACGGUUAAAGUCCGGAUGAGAGAAAUGUUUA
Regulatory RNA element from Eubacterium sp. CAG:251, 119 nucleotides. It matches the Rfam family "FMN riboswitch aptamer (RFN element)". Rfam says of the family: The RFN element is a highly conserved domain that is found frequently in the 5'-untranslated regions of prokaryotic mRNAs that encode for flavin mononucleotide (FMN) biosynthesis and transport proteins. NCBI's taxonomy places the organism in Bacteria, Bacillati, Bacillota, Clostridia, Eubacteriales, Eubacteriaceae. The record is from Rfam.